Molecule: ribosomal RNA, 120 nt
Filed under: uncultured Armatimonadota bacterium
Lineage: Bacteria; Bacillati; Armatimonadota
Description: uncultured Armatimonadetes bacterium partial 16S ribosomal RNA
Rfam family: Bacterial small subunit ribosomal RNA
Source: RNAcentral
GAUCAGCGAAGCUGCGGUGAAUACGUUCCCGGGCCUUGUACACACCGCCCGUCACGUCACCUGAGUUGCCUGCACCCGAAGUAGGUGGGUCAAGCGCCGUAAGGGUAGUCAUACGACACG